Molecule: ribosomal RNA, 464 nt
Filed under: uncultured bacterium
Lineage: Bacteria
Description: partial 16S ribosomal RNA
Rfam family: Bacterial small subunit ribosomal RNA
Source: RNAcentral
GACGAACGCUGGCGGCGUGCUUAACACAUGCAAGUCGAACGAUGAACCGGUUUCGGCCGGGGAUUAGUGGCGAACGGGUGAGUAACACGUGGGCAAUCUGCCCUGCACUCUGGGAUAAGCACGGGAAACUGGGUCUAAUACCGGAUACGACACUCCGAGGCAUCUUGGGGUGUGGAAAGUUACGGCGGUGGGGGAUGGGCCCGCGGCCUAUCAGCUUGUUGGUGGGGUAAUGGCCUACCAAGGCGACGACGGGUAGCCGGCCUGAGAGGGUGACCGGCCACACUGGGACUGAGACACGGCCCAGACUCCUACGGGAGGCAGCAGUGGGGAAUAUUGCACAAUGGGCGAAAGCCUGAUGCAGCGACGCCGCGUGCGGGAUGACGGCCUUCGGGUUGUAAACCUCUUUCAGCAGGGAAGAAGCGAAAGUGACGGUACCUGCAGAAGAAGCACCGGCUAACUACGUG